This is a non-coding RNA of Oryza barthii, 198 nucleotides long. Lineage: Eukaryota; Viridiplantae; Streptophyta; Magnoliopsida; Poales; Poaceae. The record is from Rfam.
CCUCCGCCGCCCCAUUUCCAUUUUAAGUGUGACUAUGAUUUUUCGUCUUAUUUGAUAAAAAAAAACUAAAAUAUAAGUCACGCAUAAAUUAUUAUUCAUAUUUUAUCAUCUCAUAACUAUAAAAAUACUAAUUAUAAAAAAUUUUCAAAUAAAACGGAAAAUCAAAGUUGGAUACAGAAACUCAUAGUUACACUUAAA